UAGGGAAUCUUGCGCAAUGGGCGAAAGCCUGACGCAGCCAUGCCGCGUGAAUGAUGAAGGUCUUAGGAUUGUAAAAUUCUUUCACCGGGGAAGAUAAUGACGGUACCCGGAGAAGAAGCCCCGGCUAACUUCGUGCCAGCAGCCGCGGUAAUACGAAGGGGGCUAGCGUUGCUCGGAAUUACUGGGCGUAAAGGGCGCGUAGGCGGAUAUUUAAGUUGGGGGUGAAAGCCCGGAGCUCAACCUCGGAAUAGCCUUCAAUACUGGAUAUCUUGAGUUCGGGAGAGGUGAGUGGAAUGCCGAGUGUAGAGGUGAAAUUCGUAGAUAUUCGGCGGAACACCAGUGGCGAAGGCGACUCACUGGCCCGAUACUGACGCUGAGGCGCGAAAGCGUGGGGAGCAAACAGGAUUAGAUACCCUGGUAGUCCACGCCGUAAACGAUGAGUGCUAGUUGUCGGCAUGCAUGCAUGUCGGUGACGCAGCUAACGCAUUAAGCACUCCGCCUGGGGAGUACGGUCGCAAGAUUAAAACUCAAAUGAAUUGACGGGGUCAUAGCUGUUUUCUG
RNAcentral lists this ribosomal RNA (561 nucleotides) under uncultured bacterium. RNAcentral's name for it is "partial 16S ribosomal RNA". It matches the Rfam family "Bacterial small subunit ribosomal RNA", at positions 355 to 939 of the family's 1533-position model. The record is from RNAcentral.